GGAGGGAUUCCCGAGUGGCCAAAGGGGGCAGACUGUAAAUCUGUUGCGGAACGCUUCGGUGGUUCGAAUCCACCUCCAUCCA
RNAcentral lists this transfer RNA (82 nucleotides) under Butyrivibrio sp. CAG:318. It matches the Rfam family "tRNA". From Rfam's summary of the family: Transfer RNA (tRNA) molecules are approximately 80 nucleotides in length. Their secondary structure includes four short double-helical elements and three loops (D, anti-codon, and T loops). The record is from Rfam by way of RNAcentral. Lineage: Bacteria; Bacillati; Bacillota; Clostridia; Lachnospirales; Lachnospiraceae.